CCCUUAGAUGUUCUGGGCGGCCCGCGCACUACAAUGGCGCUUUCAGCGAGUUCCUAUGUUGAAUUUUCCUGGGUAUUCUUGGAAGCGGCGUCUUGACUUGGGAUAGAUCCUUGUAAUUGUUGGUUUUGAACGAGGAAUUCCUUGUAAUCGCGGUUGAUCAGCUCGCGUUGAAUACGUCCCUGCCCUUUGUACACACCGCCCGUCGCUCCUACCGAUGAAUCGUCCGGUGAAGUUCACAGAGUGGCGGUUCGUGUAGUUGCUCGCGAAGUGAAAUGGACCUCACGAUUUAGAGGAAGGAGAAGUCGUAACA
This 310-nucleotide ribosomal RNA is filed under the name uncultured eukaryote. RNAcentral describes it as "partial 18S ribosomal RNA". It matches the Rfam family "Eukaryotic small subunit ribosomal RNA", at positions 1470 to 1796 of the family's 1831-position model. The record is from RNAcentral.